UGUGUAAAAAAAAAUUACAACUUUAAUUAGUUUUGUAAAAUAUACAACUCUACAAAUCCUUUAAUUUUUUUUUAUAGGAACUCUACAAAUCUUUGUAGUCAAACUUCAACUAUUGUGCAGCCUUUGUGCUUCAUCUUUAAAUGAAUCUACAUAACUGGAAAAAUAAAAUAGAACAAAUCAAUAAAAUUUAGUUAAAACGAAAUAACAAUCGUCGAAGAGUAACCCACAUAUAUCACCCGUUGUUAAAGAAGACGAAAAAUUGAACAAAGAGACAAAAGACUCUAAAACUAUAGAGAGAUAGAAAGAGGAUGAAAAAUAAAAUGAUGAAUUUUAAUAUAUUAUAAACUACAGUGAGUCAAGAACCAAGAACAAAUAUGUGAUAUUUAGAAAAUAGGGAUGAAACAUUAUUUUUUGAAAUAAUUUCGAAUUUGAUAACUGAAUGUUGAAAUGGUGAGAGAAACCAAGCAAGGACAAUCCGAACAACUAUGGUCCAUGACUCCUUCACGGGGUUGAUCUCAAAGAUAUUAUCAGAUUUUGGUGUCAUUAUAAUAUCGUUAUUUAGUUUGACAGGGAAGAGAAGAAGACAGAUGAGACAACUGAAGAAAACAUUGGUAUAUAUAGGUUAAUAGUAUAGGUAGAAUAAUAUUGAAACCAUAUAAAAAUAAAAGUUAUGAUACAAUAAAACCAAAAUAAUACAAUAUGAUUGGUUCAACAAAACAACAAU
Molecule: long non-coding RNA, 724 nt
Filed under: Medicago truncatula (barrel medic)
Lineage: Eukaryota; Viridiplantae; Streptophyta; Magnoliopsida; Fabales; Fabaceae
Description: long non-coding RNA (MTRU_LNC008299)
Source: RNAcentral